UUAAAGGAAUUGACGGGGCCCGCACAAGCGGAGGAGCAUGUGGUUUAAUUCGAUGAUACGCGAGGAACCUUACCUGGGCUCGAACGUAAGAUGACUGUAGGUGAAAGCUUACAUCUCUUCGGAGCAUUUUACGAGGUGCUGCAUGGUUGUCGUCAGCUCGUGCCGUGAGGUGUCGGGUUAAGUCCCAUAACGAGCGCAACCCCUACCUUUAGUUGCCAUCAGGUUAAGCUGGGGACUCUAAAGGAACUGCCUACGCAAGUAGUGAGGAAGGCGGGGAUGACGUCAAAUCAGCACGGCCCUUACGUCCAGGGCUACACACGUGCUACAAUGGCCGAUACAGAGGGCAGCUACCUGGUGACAGGAUGCAAAUCUCCAAAGUCGGUCUCAGUUCGGAUCGGAGUCUGCAACCCGACUCCGUGAAGUUGGAUUCGCUAGUAAUCGCGCAUCAGCCAUGGCGCGGUGAAUACGUUCCCGGGCCUU
RNAcentral lists this ribosomal RNA (480 nucleotides) under uncultured Sphingobacteriales bacterium. RNAcentral's name for it is "bacterial SSU rRNA". It matches the Rfam family "Bacterial small subunit ribosomal RNA", at positions 901 to 1382 of the family's 1533-position model. The record is from RNAcentral. Lineage: Bacteria; Pseudomonadati; Bacteroidota; Sphingobacteriia; Sphingobacteriales.